Long non-coding RNA from Papaver somniferum (opium poppy), 671 nucleotides. RefSeq lists it as uncharacterized. Lineage: Eukaryota; Viridiplantae; Streptophyta; Magnoliopsida; Ranunculales; Papaveraceae. The record is from RefSeq and is a predicted model, not a curated record. The transcript is spliced from 3 exons.
CGUGCAGAGAGGAUGGUGUUCGAGGAGACUGGGGAGAAUUUUGCGAGAACUUUGUACAGGUUUUCCAUGACAGCGGAUUAAUAUGUCUUUUUUGCACUUUGUACUAGUAGUAAUACAUAUCUUUUCGCCUCCAGGGUCAUUCGGUAUUAAUCUGCGCGCAACUUUGAUUUUUCGUUCUGCAUGCUGGCCUGCUUACUUAAAUAAGUCAUACUAGGUAGUUACUACAUGGGAUUCCUAAAUACCAACCAUUUUAGGUCCUCGACUCCAAGACCGAAUGAUAACACCAGUCCUUUUACUCUAAUUACGAGUUUUAGAUAUAAUCCACGCGUUUUCUGUUAUUUGUGUGAGCCUAGUUUAAGAAAACUAAUUGGUCCAAUCUCUUAGAUUGAUAUAGUAGGUACCCUUUUAUCAGUUGAUUAAACUAAUGAGCCUUAUUGUCGAAAAACUUGUUAGCAAUCACAUUUAUUUAUGCGAUGGGGGUUCUUGUUUAAUAAUAGCUGGACAGUGUAACCCAUUUUGCUAGGCACCCAGAGAUGUUGUAUCUACAUGCUAUAUAACUACACGAUGUACUUGAAACAUCAGUUGAGUUCAUGGAAUUUAGGCUGAAUCCCACCUUGUAUUUUCCCGUGGUAAUAAACGUGUAACCUUUGAUUUUUUUUAUAAAAACUUGU